CUACGGGGGGCUGCAGUGAGGAAUAUUGCACAAUGGGGGGAACCCUGAUGCAGCAACGCCGCGUGGAGGAUGACGCAUUUCGGUGUGUAAACUCCUUUUAUAUGUCAAGAAAAUGACGGUAGUAUAUGAAUAAGCACCGGCUAACUCCGUGCCAGCAGCCGCGGUAAUACGGGGGGUGCAAGCGUUACUCGGAAUCACUGGGCGUAAUGGAAGCGUAGGCGGGUUGGAAAGUCAGGUGUGAAAUCCUACAGCUUAACUGUAGAACUGCACUUGAAACUUCUAAUCUAGAGUAUGGGAGGGGGAGAUGGAAUUAGUGGUGUAGGGGUAAAAUCCGUAGAUAUCACUAGGAAUACCUAAAGCGAAGGCGAUCUCCUGGAACAUUACUGACGCUAAGGCGUGAAAGCGUGGGGAGCAAACAGGAUUAGAUACCCUUGUAGUC
RNAcentral lists this ribosomal RNA (439 nucleotides) under uncultured bacterium. RNAcentral's name for it is "partial 16S ribosomal RNA". It matches the Rfam family "Bacterial small subunit ribosomal RNA", at positions 339 to 795 of the family's 1533-position model. The record is from RNAcentral.